Molecule: ribosomal RNA, 745 nt
Filed under: uncultured bacterium
Lineage: Bacteria
Description: bacterial SSU rRNA
Rfam family: Bacterial small subunit ribosomal RNA
Source: RNAcentral
ACGCUGGCGGCAGGCCUAACACAUGCAAGUCGAGCGGUAGAGAGAAGCUUGCUUCUCUUGAGAGCGGCGGACGGGUGAGUAAUGCCUAGGAAUCUGCCUGGUAGUGGGGGAUAACGUUCGGAAACGGACGCUAAUACCGCAUACGUCCUACGGGAGAAAGCAGGGGACCUUCGGGCCUUGCGCUAUCAGAUGAGCCUAGGUCGGAUUAGCUAGUUGGUGAGGUAAUGGCUCACCAAGGCGACGAUCCGUAACUGGUCUGAGAGGAUGAUCAGUCACACUGGAACUGAGACACGGUCCAGACUCCUACGGGAGGCAGCAGUGGGGAAUAUUGGACAAUGGGCGAAAGCCUGAUCCAGCCAUGCCGCGUGUGUGAAGAAGGUCUUCGGAUUGUAAAGCACUUUAAGUUGGGAGGAAGGGCAGUUACCUAAUACGUGAUUGUUUUGACGUUACCGACAGAAUAAGCACCGGCUAACUCUGUGCCAGCAGCCGCGGUAAUACAGAGGGUGCAAGCGUUAAUCGGAAUUACUGGGCGUAAAGCGCGCGUAGGUGGUUAGUUAAGUUGGAUGUGAAAUCCCCGGGCUCAACCUGGGAACUGCAUUCAAAACUGACUGACUAGAGUAUGGUAGAGGGUGGUGGAGUUUCCUGUGUAGCGGUGAAAUGCGUAGAUAUAGGAAGGAACACCAGUGGCGAAGGCGACCACCUGGACUGAUACUGACACUGAGGUGCGAAAACGUGGGGAGCAAAC